Neopsephotus bourkii (Bourke's parrot) is the source of this 927-nucleotide long non-coding RNA. RefSeq lists it as uncharacterized. The record is from RefSeq and is a predicted model, not a curated record. The transcript has 3 exons. NCBI's taxonomy places the organism in Eukaryota, Metazoa, Chordata, Aves, Psittaciformes, Psittacidae.
AAAAGGUAAACAGCACUUCUUCAGCAAGGUUUAAAUUUUGCCUCUUUAUUCUGGUACAUUUUAAGCUUUAAUUAGCAUGCUUGAUCCUCUUAAACAGAAAUCAGAAUGUGUAAAAUCUUUAUAUUAGCAGAAAGAAGAGAGACCUGGGAAACACAUGGAUCUUGUUCAUUACUAUAUCUGAGAUCUGUCCUUCUCCCUAAAUUAAUUAGUUGCAAAUUAGUUUUGUAAUUCAAUGAAAAACUGAACAUGCUUGAGCAAGCAACCUCCUGAGAAGCUAGACAUGAACAUGAAUAGAUUUUAGUUCUAUCCAGACAGAUUCCUGUGUCCAAAUCGUGUCACUAAGGUGUAAUCCCCAGGGCUCACUAUAGGUAUGAAACUGAAGAGAUGUAAAGCUCCAAAGUAUAGUGCUAUUUGCAAAAAAACGAAAUGAGAAUUACAUUCAAUAAUAGGUAUGCUGGGCUGCUUUCCAUUAUCACUGAACAGGUUCAGACAAAGCUACUGUUGGAGAAGGGACAUACCUCCCAAAAGAAGUUUCUUAAAGCUUGGGGAAUGAUCUUGUGGGAUGUCCCCUGUGUAAAUGGAACAUGAAGCUUUUGCAGUGGGAAAAUAAUUUGUUGGGAAUUCUCAUCUACAGCAGAAAAUACCUUUUUCCUGCAGGGAAAUGAAAAGGAUAUUACUAACUGACAAUCUGCUCCCUUUCUUUUAGGAAUGGAUUUGACUUGUUACAAGCAGAGAGAGAGAAAAUCUGGCCUUCAACCCCAGAAAGCCAGAAGCUGAUAAGCUGGUGAGGGUCUUGAAGGGAAUGGCAUUAGCACUGUGAGAAAACUGAAAAAGAAGCUGUGACAAUGCCAGCAAAUCAUGGGUCCAGCAACAGAGAAAACUCAUUGCCCCCCCUGGAUAUGAAGAGGAGACAGCUGAGUCAGAAUA